RNAcentral lists this ribosomal RNA (489 nucleotides) under uncultured bacterium. Its description in RNAcentral is "bacterial SSU rRNA". It matches the Rfam family "Bacterial small subunit ribosomal RNA", at positions 43 to 521 of the family's 1533-position model. The record is from RNAcentral.
CAGGCCUAACACAUGCAAGUCGAACGGUAACAGGAAGAAGCUUGCUGCUUUGCUGACGAGUGGCGGACGGGUGAGUAAUGUCUGGGAAACUGCCUGAUGGAGGGGGAUAACUACUGGAAACGGUAGCUAAUACCGCAUAACGUCGCAAGACCAAAGAGGGGGACCUUCGGGCCUCUUGCCAUCGGAUGUGCCCAGAUGGGAUUAGCUAGUAGGUGGGGUAACGGCUCACCUAGGCGACGAUCCCUAGCUGGUCUGAGAGGAUGACCAGCCACACUGGAACUGAGACACGGUCCAGACUCCUACGGGAGGCAGCAGUGGGGAAUAUUGCACAAUGGGCGCAAGCCUGAUGCAGCCAUGCCGCGUGUAUGAAGAAGGCCUUCGGGUUGUAAAGUACUUUCAGCGGGGAGGAAGGGAGUAAAGUUAAUACCUUUGCUCAUUGACGUUACCCGCAGAAGAAGCACCGGCUAACUCCGUGCCAGCAGCCGCGGU